UACGAAGGGGGCUAGCGUUGCUCGGAAUUACUGGGCGUAAAGGGCGCGUAGGCGGACAGUUAAGUCAGAGGUGAAAGCCCAGGGCUCAACCCUGGAACUGCAUCCGAUACUGCCAUGCUAGAGAACUGAAGAGGAGUGUAGAAUUCUCGGUGUAGCAGUGAAAUGCGUAGAUAUCGAGAGGAAUACCAACGGCGAAGGCAGCACUCUGGGCAGUUUCUGACACUGAGGCACGAAGGCUAGGGGAGCAAACGGGAUUAGAACCUC
This 264-nucleotide ribosomal RNA is filed under the name uncultured bacterium. Its description in RNAcentral is "partial 16S ribosomal RNA". It matches the Rfam family "Bacterial small subunit ribosomal RNA", at positions 524 to 787 of the family's 1533-position model. The record is from RNAcentral.